RNAcentral lists this ribosomal RNA (430 nucleotides) under uncultured bacterium. RNAcentral's name for it is "bacterial SSU rRNA". It matches the Rfam family "Bacterial small subunit ribosomal RNA", at positions 28 to 450 of the family's 1533-position model. The record is from RNAcentral.
GAUGAACGCUGGCGGCGUGCCUAAUACAUGCAAGUCGAACGAGGUGCUUGAGUAGCAAUACAAGAGUAUCCUAGUGGCGAACGGGUGAGUAACGCGUUGGUGACCUACCCCAAAGUGUGGGAUAACAGUUCGAAAGAACUGCUAAUACCGCAUGUGGUUAUUGGAUUUAGAAACUGAUAACUAAAGGAGCAAUUCGCUUUGGGAGGGACCUGCGUCCCAUCAGCUAGUUGGUGAGGUAAUGGCUCACCAAGGCUACGACGGGUAGGGGACCUGAGAGGGUGACCCCCCACAAUGGAACUGAAACACGGUCCAUACACCUACGGGUGGCAGCAGUAGGGGAAUAUUGCACAAUGGGCGAAAGACCUGAUGCAGCAACGCCGCGUGUGCGAUGAAGGCCUUCGGUCGUAAAGCACUUUCUUGAGGGAGUAGA